This 22-nucleotide microRNA is filed under the name Homo sapiens (human). Its description in RNAcentral is "hsa-miR-24-2-5p". Its record names the gene hsa-miR-24-2-5p. Lineage: Eukaryota; Metazoa; Chordata; Mammalia; Primates; Hominidae. The record is from miRBase by way of RNAcentral.
UGCCUACUGAGCUGAAACACAG